Molecule: non-coding RNA, 109 nt
Filed under: Risungbinella massiliensis
Lineage: Bacteria; Bacillati; Bacillota; Bacilli; Caryophanales; Thermoactinomycetaceae
Description: SAM riboswitch (S box leader)
Rfam family: SAM riboswitch aptamer (S box leader)
About the family: The SAM riboswitch is found upstream of a number of genes which code for proteins involved in methionine or cysteine biosynthesis in Gram-positive bacteria.
Source: RNAcentral
UCUUAUCCAGAGAGGUGUAGGGGCAGGCCUGAUGAUACCUCGGCAACCAUCCAAUAGGAAAGGUGCCAAUUCCUGCAGAGCAAUUAGUUUUUUGCUCUGGCAGAUGAGA